Molecule: ribosomal RNA, 500 nt
Filed under: Pedioplanis burchelli
Lineage: Eukaryota; Metazoa; Chordata; Lepidosauria; Squamata; Lacertidae
Description: partial 16S ribosomal RNA
Rfam family: Bacterial large subunit ribosomal RNA
Source: RNAcentral
GCCCAGUGAAUCUCUUAAACGGCCGCGGUAUCCUAACCGUGCAAAGGUAGCAUAAUCACUUGUCCUCCAAAUAGGGACUAGUAUGCAUGGUCAAAUGAGGACUAAACUGUCUCUUACAUUCAACCAAUAAAACUGAUCUUUCAGUUAAAAAGCUGAAAUAAAACCAUAAGACGAGAAGACCCUGUGGAGCUUUAAACCAAACCCAACCUAAGUGGCCACUUGGUUUUUAGUUGGGGCGACUUCGGAGCACAAAAAACCCUCCGAUAAUAGCCAUAUUAAGAUCAACAUAUCAAAAUAUAAGCUCGGACCCAAUAUUUCAUUAAAUAUCUGAUCAACGAACCAAGUUACCCCCAGGGGAUAACAGCGCUAUCCCCCUUCUAGAGUCCUUAUCGACAAAGGNNKNUUACGACCUCGAUGUUGGGAUCAGGACAUCCAAAUAGUGGCAAGCCGCUAAUUAAAGGUUCGUUUGUUCAACGAAUUAAAGGCCUACCGGAUCUGAA